CAGCCUUUGUGGAACACAGUACUUGUGAUCAACGGGGCGAGAGAAUUCACCACAUGAGGCUUUUGAGUUGGGAAGAAACGCAAAGUUUCCAUCCCAAACUGCCAUUUGUGCACUGUUCAAUGCAGUGUCCCAAAUCCUGAGAGCAGUUUUUCCCAUUUUGUAGAACAGGUAGCUAACAUCCAGUCUUUACCUGCUGGAGAAGAUUCCUGUCAGGCUUUUGCUGUGCUAUCUCAGCACAUGUUUUGUCUGUGAUAAUCACUAGUUUCUGUGUGGGGAGCUAUGAAACUUGUUGGUGCCAGGGAUUAUUGUAAGGAUGUUUGUGUGUUAUAUCCGUGUCAUCGUGGAUUUGGGAUACUCGGGAGUGCCUUUGCUGUGCCCGCUGCUUUUGUGGGAUGCUUUUAUUGCCAUGGAUUGGCUGCUUAGUCGCAAUUUACUCAGCCCCUCUGCUUAACUUGACCAGUUCUGCCACUGCAAAGCAGCCCAGAGAAUGAAUCCUGAGCCGAACGAUCCUGCACUGCUAACGGCACUGAUAAGCCCCGGGAAGGGACGGAUGAGCCGCUCCCUCCGCGGCCACUGAAGGGCUGCCUCCCAGAAGAUGGAGCUAUUUCCCCGAGACUGCUGAUGGAGACCUUGUGUGUCUCCAGUGUGCCAUCCCAGGGACUCAGCUGUCCUUAGCAUAAUGCACCCAUGAGUAAUUGGAAGCUGCAGGUCCCUGUUACUGCUCGCUCCCUGCAGCAACACCCCUCAAAUCCUCAGUGAGAACAGGCAACACCAGCAAGGCCCCCAAAGUGUCACAUUCUGAACUGGAGGGAUCUUGGCAAGGUGGUUCCUGUGGGUGCUCCGAGGGAUGACAGAGCCAGGGAUGUCACCCCCACGUACAGACAUUCCCAGUGCCAGCACAGCAGAACUUUACCCAGGUGGGAUUCAACAGCUUUUUACUUUACAGCAGCACAAAUUCUUGAGACUGGGCAGCGUUGAGAUAUCGUUUGUUACAAAUCCUUGAAAGCGCCUGGCAAGGGAUCCACUGUUCACUAACAGCGACAAAAAUGCCUCAUCUGGACCAGUGAAUUCCAAGUGUGUGGGAGGAGGUUUCCUCCCAAAGCCACAAAAUGAAUGACAGACCUUCAGUCAUGUUGGAGUGUUCUGGACCAGCACUGCUGCUUCUACCCCCACGCUGCAGUGGGGCUGUCCCUCAGUGUUCCUGCUCCAUCCAGAGCAUUCCCAGCUGUGCUGAGCAGGAUUUGGUGCUCUCAGGGAGAGGUGAGUCCUCACCAGCUCCCUGUGCCGUGAUUCCCACCUGAAAAAGAGAUGAAAUAAUAGUUUUGGAGUUGGCUCUUUGCUUGGGAUGAUGAAAGUCACCAAAUUCCUAAGGAGAACCAGGGAACUUCAGGAGAAUUCCCUUUGCCAGUCCUUGUGGAGCUGUCCAGCUGCCAGAUCUGUUACAGCAGCCAAAUGACAUGCACACACCUGCCAUUAUUCCUUACCAUGGGCUCUGAGGGAAAGGUGGGAGCACCUGGGAAUAAUCCUGAGCUUCCAUUGAAUUGUGGAGCUGAUUACAGACACUCCCAUUUCUCUGGAGGAAGAGUGUGUCAUCCUUGGUGCUCUGCCAGGUUCUGUUUAAUUGCUCUUUAUUAAGAGCAGCCCCAGGCACGAGAUAGUCCGUACAGAGGCCACGAUCCGUCCUGACCCAGCUGCAUCCCACAGCUUGGGAGGAACCUGCUGUGAGGCUCAGCCAGUAAACAUCCCCUGCGGCAGAACCCAAAGCAGGACCCCACAGCAGGUGAAAAACAAGGCCAGAACUGCCUUGCAGGGUUUCACCAGCUCAAAUGAGACUGAGAUAAUCCCAGCAUGACACUAUGAAAGUCACCCAGAGAAGAGUUUGAACUGUUGGCUGAUCGAGUUUUUAAUAUUAAAUUGUGAUUUUGCCUUAGAAAUUGCCAUUAAAGACACCACAAUUAAAGGGUGAAGGCUAAAAAAGUGUCAAGACAGCAAGCGUUAACAAAUGUCUUGUUUCCAUACCCCAAGAUCUGUUAAAGACAAAGCCAUCAUGAAAACUUGUGAUUUGAAAAUUGUGAAAUGUGAAUGUUGGAGUUUCUUUCCAGUUUUACUGCAAAGUGUUGCCGUUUUGUGGCUUCACUGAUCUUCCCCUCACUGAAGCGCUGCAGACCAGGAUGAACCCCUGGCCUGGAGCUCAGAACCCAUUAACCUCCUACUCCAUAUCCAUCCCAUGCCAAAGCCCCAGGGCUCUGCUACAGCUACCAAAGAGUCAGGCCUUUCCUGGUGCCUGCUUUGUGUGGCUCCUGGGAGGUCUGCACUUUUGUAAUGAUAGAAAUAAUUAUAAAAAUAUUAAUUUAAGUAGCAAAAAUAUUGAAAGCACAUGUGUGUGUUUGGGGAUGUGUGUAGCAGGGGAUCACCCUCAGUCCUGCACUGGGGACUGUUUCUCAUCCCACAGUCCAAGAUAAUACACAUUUCAGGGUCCCUGUUGUGAGCAAGUAUUUAAAGACUAACGUUAAAGGAGAAGAAACCUCUCCAAUCAAUUGUGAAAGUAAAACCAGCACUGAAACUGCUACAGAAAUGGAAGCACAGCUAGGAGAAAAUUAAAAACAGCAACCCCAGAAUACCUGUCCUAAUUAAACCUUUGCUGGGAAUACGUGAAUUAAAAUAGGAAUGACACUUGAAUUAAUAAAAGAGCAACAGAAUGUUUCA
Molecule: long non-coding RNA, 2706 nt
Organism: Parus major (Great Tit)
Lineage: Eukaryota; Metazoa; Chordata; Aves; Passeriformes; Paridae
Exons: 9
Source: RefSeq, a predicted model, not a curated record